ACAAAAAUACAUUGUAUAUAAAAAAAGCAAUAUAUAUUAAAAAAAAAAUAAUAAGGAAGAAAUAAGCAAUUUUUUUCCAGAUGUUUUUGUUACAAAUUUAAUUUCUUUUUUUUUUUACUAAAAAUUAUUACAAUACAAUUGUUAUCACCAUCGUUUAUGUUAAAAAAUAUGAUAAAAAAUAGUUAUAUUUAGGGAUGGUAAUUUUUUUAUUUUUUAUUUUUUUGCCAAAUAACCACAAGAACUAUAUACUUGCACUUCAGUUCAGCUUUAAUAUAAUUCCUAUUUUAAUGUCCUUUGUCUGACAUCCUGUGACUUCUUCAGUGACUCUCCAUCACAUAUUCUGUGACUCUUCAGUGACUCUCCAUCAUAUAUUCUGUGACUUCUUCAGUGACUCUCCAUUCCACAUGUCUCCUGUUCUGUUUAGUUCAUUAGAAUGGACUCCAAAAAUUCUCAACGGAGGGGCACAUAGUCCCCCACACAAGGGGUCCAUUUGGAGAUCGAGGAGGACAUUUUAGAGCUAAGGGGCUUUCUUGUACCAAACAGCACACUUUCAAUAGACAACAAGUUGAUGUUGCAUGGUAGAAAUAAAGACAAUUACCAAACUCUCAAUUUUUUGCAUUUCAAUUUGUACAUCUGUACUCCCGAUUGCAUACAAGCGCAUAUGUAAAACGACGUCCUUUAUUUUUUGAAUCAUUAUCUGCUGAUAUCAAAAUAAGUAGUAUAUUGAAAAAUAAAAAUUUAGGGAUGGUAAUUUUUUUAUUUUUUAUUUUUUUGCCAAAUAACCACAAGAACUAUAUACUUGCACUUCAGUUCAGCUUUAAUAUAAUUCCUAUUUUAAUGUCCUUUGUCUGACAUCCUGUGACUUCUUCAGUGACUCUCCAUCACAUAUUCUGUGACUCUUCAGUGACUCUCCAUCAUAUAUUCUGUGACUUCUUCAGUGACUCUCCAUUCCACAUGUCUCCUGUUCUGUUUAGUUCAUUAGAAUGGACUCCAAAAAUUCUCAACGGAGGGGCACAUAGUCCCCCACACAAGGGGUCCAUUUGGAGAUCGAGGAGGACAUUUUAGAGCUAAGGGGCUUUCUUGUACCAAACAGCACACUUUCAAUAGACAACAAGUUGAUGUUGCAUGGUAGAAAUAAAGACAAUUACCAAACUCUCAAUUUUUUGCAUUUCAAUUUGUACAUCUGUACUCCCGAUUGCAUACAAGCGCAUAUGUAAAACGACGUCCUUUAUUUUUUGAAUCAUUAUCUGCUGAUAUCAAAAUAAGUAGUAUAUUGAAAAAUAAAAAUAUUUUCGUGGGGUGGGGGCAUUUGUGACUCCAAAAGUCAAAAGGGGGCCUCUGGUCAAAAUAGAUUCAGAACUUUUGGACUAAACAAAACAGAAAUCCAUUAAAAUGGACUAAGCAGAACAGGAGGAGUCACAUGGGAUGGAGAGACAUGUGGGAUGAAGAGAUCACAGGAUGUGUGAUAAAAGAUUUCAGACGAAGGAUACCAAAAUAAUAAUAAUAAUAAUAAUAAUAAUAAUAAUAAUAAUUCAACAUACAACUUCACAUCAGGAAUUUUGCAAAGCAAAAUAUAAAUGUAAAAACAAAAAUACAAAUUCACGAAAAUAAAAUCCUCCCUCUACCCCCCACCCCCGUCAAUAUUAAAAAGUAAAAGUUGGGGGAGCAAUAUGUAAAUAUCAAAUGGAAUGCUUCUGUGGAUGGAGGGAAGAAGGAGUGAAUAAAGAAGCAGAAUAACUGGACAGAUACACAGUUACUCAAAUGUGCCCAUCCCACAUGAAAGAAAAAAAAAACACUAAAAAAUUAAAAUAAAAUAUAAAAAUU
RNAcentral lists this long non-coding RNA (1824 nucleotides) under Octopus vulgaris (common octopus). Lineage: Eukaryota; Metazoa; Mollusca; Cephalopoda; Octopoda; Octopodidae. The record is from RNAcentral.